AGUGGAUGGGGAGCAACCUAGUUGUGCGUGUGUAAAGGUAGUGCCAAGAAAAGCGAUGAUCAUGUUGAAAAUCAAUUCCCGGUACCCGAAACCGACACAGGUGGGCAAGUAGAGAAUACUAAGGGGCGCGAGGUAACUCUCUCCAAGGAACUCGGCAAAAUGACCCCGUAACUUAGGGAGAAGGGGUGCCACCGAGAGGUGGUCGCAGUGAAGAGGCCCAGGCGACUGUUUAGCAAAAACAUAGGUCUCUGCAAACUCGAAAGAGGAGGUAUAGGGGCUGACGCCUGCCCAGUGCCGGAAGGUUAAAGAAGUUGGUGAGUUUUAGGAUGAAGCUAGCGACUGAAGCCCCGGUGAACGGCGGCCGUAACUAUAACGGUCCUAAGGUAGCGAAAUUCCUUGUCGGGUAAGUUCCGACCCGCACGAAAGGCGUAACGAUCUGGGCGCUGUCUCGGAGAGAGGCUCGGCGAAAUAGGAUUGUCUGUGAAGAUACGGACUACCUGCAUUUGGACAGAAAGACCCUAUGAAGCUUUACUAUAGCUUGGAAUUGUGUUCGGGCUUCCUGCGCGCAGGAUAGGUGGGAGGCGUAGAAGGUAUUCUUGUGGGGAUACUGGAGCCAACGGUGAGAUACCACUCUCAGGAGGCUAGAAAUUCUAACUUAAUUAAGGACAGUUUCAGGUGGGUAGUUUGACUGGGGCGGUCGCCUCCAAAAAGGUAACGGAGGCGUACAAAGGUUCCCUCAGACUGGUUGGAAAUCAGUCGAAGAGUGCAAAGGCAGAAGGGAGCUUGACUGCGAGAAGUACAGUUCGAGCAGGGUGGAAACACGGUCUUAGUGAUCCGACGGUGCUGUGUGGAAGGGCCGUCGCUCAACGGAUAAAAGUUACUCUAAGGAUAACAGGCUGAUCUCCCCCAAGAGUUCACAUCGACGGGGAGGUUUGGCACCUCGAUGUCGGCUCAUCGCAACCUGGGGCGGAAGUACGUCCCAAGGGUUGGGCUGUUCGCCCAUUAAAGCGGUACGUGAGCUGGGUUCAGAACGUCGUGAGACAGUUCGGUCCAUAUCCGAUGUAGGCGUGAGAAUAUUGAGAGGAGCCUUCCUUAGUACGAGAGGACCGGGAAGGACGCACCGCUGGUGUACCUGUUAUGAUGCCAAUUGUAAACGCAGGGUAGCCAAGUGCGGAGAGGAUAACCGCUGAAAGCAUCUAAGUGGGAAGCCCACCUCAAGAUGAGUAUUCUGGUGUAAGGUCACGGGAAGACGACCCGUAAAUAGGCACGAGGUGGAAGUGCAGAGAUGUAUGAAGCCGAAGUGUACUAAUAGACCGUCGGCUUG
Molecule: ribosomal RNA, 1324 nt
Filed under: metagenome
Description: bacterial LSU rRNA
Rfam family: Bacterial large subunit ribosomal RNA
Source: RNAcentral